Molecule: long non-coding RNA, 380 nt
Filed under: Rattus norvegicus (Norway rat)
Lineage: Eukaryota; Metazoa; Chordata; Mammalia; Rodentia; Muridae
Description: long non-coding RNA NONRATT002323
Source: RNAcentral
CUUUCAGGAAUGAACUGGCUGAUUGAGAUUGUCUGCUUGAUUCAGACCAAGGGAGAUCCCAAGUGGACCCAAUCUCUGCCCAUCUGGGAUCGCUCACCCUGGAUAGAGACUGAUGUAGGAUAUGAUACAUUAAUCAAAAAGGAAUGACCACGACUCAUGAUCUCACAUCUUCCCAAUCAUCAUUUCUCCAAGUCUCUCUUCAGUUCCAAGACCAAGUUGUAGGUGGAUCAUGGUUUGAGCACAUCUGUGACUGGCUGUCCAUGAGAGAAUGGACAACUUCUUGAUACUGCACUAUGAAGACAUGAAAAGUUGAGCAUCCAUCUUACUAUCAUUUACACAGUUAAGAACUCGAUCGUAGUAAUUAAAAAGGUUACUAAAAA